GUCUUCGCAACACCUGCUAUACCAGUUAAGUGUCAUGAAGUGUUUCCUUUAGAAGUAUCCUCACUUAAGUAACUCUAUUCCGGCUAUAACACGCAACAAGCGUAAUUGAUUAGUAGAAAAUAUUUAUAGGAUUUACCCAUGUCUAAGACAACUGGUACAGUUAAGUGGUUUAACGAAGAGAAAGGUUUCGGUUUCAUCACUCAAGAGAAUGGCGGUGCAGACGUAUUCGUUCACUUCCGUGCUAUCACUGGUGAAGGUUUCCGCACUCUAGCUGAAGGCCAAAAAGUUGCGUUUGAAGUUGAGCAAGGUCAAAAAGGCCCUCAAGCUGCAAACGUUGAAGUACUAUAAUUAAGUACUUAUAAAGAAUUAAAAAAAGCCGCACCUGUUGCGGCUUUUUUGUG
RNAcentral lists this small RNA (401 nucleotides) under Vibrio rumoiensis 1S-45. RNAcentral describes it as "cspA thermoregulator". It matches the Rfam family "cspA thermoregulator". Lineage: Bacteria; Pseudomonadati; Pseudomonadota; Gammaproteobacteria; Vibrionales; Vibrionaceae. The record is from Rfam by way of RNAcentral.